Molecule: long non-coding RNA, 3995 nt
Organism: Rhincodon typus (whale shark)
Lineage: Eukaryota; Metazoa; Chordata; Chondrichthyes; Orectolobiformes; Rhincodontidae
Exons: 2
Source: RefSeq, a predicted model, not a curated record
CUUUCCAGACUCUGACUUUCAUUUUGAGCCUGUGCUGGAAAGUGGUUUGAGAGAGAAAUACGUAUUAAGUAACAAGGUCUGAGCAAUGUUUCUAAGCAAAGGAGUUUAAAGUAAUAAACUAAUUUUAGAUAAAGAAGUUACUAUUAAUCCCAGAUUGGGUCUUGGGAUACAGUCAGUGGAAUAAAAGUGAAGUUUAUGAAGAUUUUUAAAAUAAGAAAAUGUAUUGAAGCUACUUCAGCACUGGAAGAAAACUAAGUCAACUGCAUAAUAAUUAAGCAAGAACUAAUUAUGGUUCUGGCAGAAUCGGUUUUCUCCAGGAAACAAGGACAAAAGCUGAAGAGACCCUGGAGAAGCAGCACUUGUGACCGGGUGUUACGCUCUUUCCAUGUCUUGGUUGCAAUUGUAAUGUCUAUCUGCUUAAUUAACACAGCAAUGACUGGCUGCACAAGAACAGAUUUAAAUCAUCUCAAGGACUGAUCCAGGGUUUAGCAAGUUCAACCUGAAGCCAUCAGUUUACCUUGAACAUUUAUUGAACUCCAUAGGAGAGCUCCCACUCUGUAAUCAGCUUUUGUGUGUGUGGACCUUGAGUGUAUGUGUUUGCAGUUGGAGCAUUUUAGUUUUUUUUUACUGGACUGGAUUAAGCAAAAUAAUAUGUAUCUCUUUAGCAAAGUGUGUCUGUAUGUGAGAGGAAGAGAGACAAGCCUCUGCAUCAGACAGAGUUGAAUGCUAAUUCAGCUGCUCCAGGACCGACUGUCAAUGUUGGUGGGAAUGAAAGAAGCUAGUUACAGCAGCUCUACCCGCUCUGAAAUCUACCUGAAGUCUUUAGAUCUGGGAUGUGGAGAAUGGGUUGAGUGUGGCAACUUUCAAAACCUGUUUUGUCCAGCUUAAACUGAGCUGUUCAAUCAACUUCUAGCCAGUGUGGCGAUGGACUGCUAUCUUUCAGAUCGUGACCCCAUUCUCUUGGCUUUAGGAUGGUAGUGACUUGGGAAUGGGUACCUCAGAAAGGUCUGACUUGAACUUUUAGACUUUGUCACUUGAUUGUAAACUCUCCAACUCUCUCCCCCAACCCCUCCAUUUGUUUUCAACGAAAUUACCUUGAAACCUUUCAAAUUCCAAGGAACAAAACUUUGUCUGCAGAAUACAGUUUCUCAAUUUAAUCCUUUGAGUUCUGGUCAAUAUAGACUGGACAUGCUCCAAACAAAUUUAAUCUAUAUAAAUAUGUAUACUUUCCACUUGCCUGCUUUGGUGCAGCUCCAACAACACUCAAAAAGCUUGAUGCCAUCCAGGAAAAAGGAUCCUGCUUGAUUGGCAUCACAUCCAUCACCACCAACACUCAGUAACAAAGUGUAUGCCAUCUAGAAAUUGCACUGCAAAAAUUCACCAAGGUGCCUCUUUCAGCACCUUCCAAACCCAUGACCUCUUCCAUCUGGAAAGACAAGGGCAGCAGGCAUAGGAACACCAUCACCUGCAAGUUCCCCUCCAAACCACUAACUCCUGACUUGGAAAUACAGCACUGUUCUUUCAGUGACAUUGGAUCAAAAUCCUGAAACUCCCUUCCUAAUGGCACUCUGGGUCUAUCUACAGCACGUGGGUUGCACCUGUUCAAACAGGCAGUUCACCACCGACUUCUCCAGGUCAAUCAGGGACAGGCAAUAAAUGCUGGUCCAGCCAGUGACACCCAUGUCCCAUGAAUGAAUUAGAAAAAAAUCUCAUCUGCAUAUGAGACUUGCUAUCCUGUUGUCAUUUGUUCAUGGAUAUAACAAAUGCUUGCUGUUGCCAACCACUCAGUCAAUUUCCUAAUCCUUCACGAAUACCUAGAUAACAAGCAGUAAAAUUUAGGAAAAGAUCUUUGAAUUGCAAACUGUAUCUAAAUACAUGAAACAAUUACAAUGUGAUAGACAAAUUAAUUGCAGAGAGAGCGACAAAUAGGUUCGACUGAAUAGCUAUUGCAGAGAUCACGUUGCUUGGUGACUGAUGUUGUGAGGCAAAUAUUCAGGGUGCUUGGUCUCUAAAAGUCAGCCUUGUGAUGCAUUUGGGAUGGGUAAUAAUAAAGUCUGACAAAAGAACAGCUUUGAGGAAGGACCUAAAAUCAUGAGACCAGGAAGUAAAGUCAUUCUGGAUGAAGAUAAGAAAUAACAAGGAACAUAAAAUGCUGGUGAAAGUAGUCUAUUCACACAUUCACAUUUUAAAGCAUUUAUCAUGAAAUAUGAAUAAUUUUUAGCAAAUAAAACACAAUGAACGUGGACACUUUCAUUUAUAUGUUGGUUGAACAUCUAGCUCCCUCCCACCUCCCCUCCAAAUUUUCCUUCACCCUUGAGGAGAUGUCCUUAAUCCUGGCACCUGGCAGGCAAUACAGCCUUCAGAACUCCCACUUAUGGCUGCAGAGAACAGUAUCUAUCCCCUAAUUGUACUGUCUCCUACUACUAAUACAUUCCUCUUUCCUUCCCUGACUUGAAUACCAUUCUGUACGACGUACUUUGGUCAGUUUGCUCAUGCUCCCUGCAGUCCUUAAUCUCGUCCACACAGUUUACAAGAACCUUGGAAAUGUUGGACAAUUGCAAGGGCUGAGGCUCUUCAAUUUUAACCCACAGGUCCUCAAACCUGCCUCACCAGCAUUCACACACCCAUGUCCCUGAUCACAGAUCAAUUUUGAAUUAGCUAGUGUGAGGGGUGUGACUGUGCCUAGAGCACAAUUUCUAGGUAACCUUUGAGAAGAUGUUCCCAACUUAUGGGAGAUGAUUCACAUUUUCGAGUCCUCCCUGCUUAUUAUAAUUGAUGGGGCUGGGACUGUGGGCAGGAGCUGUUUGGUUUGGGAGCUUGUUGGAGGAGGGACCUUUCUUCUUUAGGUGUUUAAUGAAAUGCUCAGUUUCUCAUCCUGACAAGUCAUCGACGAAUUGGACCUCAGCUUCUGAGUGAGUGAGUAUGCGCACACGUGGGUAUCAGCUAUGACCCUGUGUGACAAGGAAUGAUACAGUUGUCUUAGUGAAAAUGGAAUUGAGAGAAAAUAGGAGCUAGUCCAGAAUGUAAUAUUGAUGCCCUGUAUUCUGACACACAUAAAGCAUCAAUAAACUGAUCUCAGCUCAGAGGCUGAUUGCAGUGAGCUAAAACCUGUUUGAAGGGUACAACUUUGGAAAUUGCACUGCAAUGGUGAGGAUGGGCUGGGCUUUGGAGAAUCGAUGAUGGGGAGUGGUGACAUUGCAGGCCACCAUGAGAUCCACAAAUGACACUGAUCCAGAAGGAGCAAAUCUCUGGUCAGGAACAGGCCAUGGCUGAAGUUGGGAAAGCAGGAGGAGCUGGAGGGCAGUCAACAGAAAGCAGCAGCAGUGGGGUUUCGGUUACAAUCAUCGACCUGAAAAUAAAACCAAUGAUGCAGCUCAUGUAAGCUAUGGUACACUCUGGUACUCAGCAUCAGACUUUAAAAAAACAGAGGGUAAUUCAAGUCAGGAAACUGAACAAACUCUCAGGAUCUGGUAAUAGGUGACCAAAUCAUUUGAUUCUCACUCGGGGGGUAGUCAUGGUCUGGAGGACACUGCUGUAGGUCAAGGCAGGCUGGUUAGACUGCUUCCCUUGAUUUUCUGGGACUUGACCAUAGCUAUUACAGAUGAUGUUGGGGUCCAUAUCCCAUCACUCCCACACAAUUCCGCCCCUGGACCCUCGACCCAUCAUUGCCUUAAUGCUAACCCAAUGCCAACUACUGCCUCUAAACCCCAAGAAAUCCUAUGCCAUCUCAUCCCAUACACAACACAUCCCAUAGACAGACUCAGAAACCAUGCACAAGAAAAACAAUUCCAAACAUCUAUUACUGCUCUGACUGUACAGACUUGGUAGUGAAAAGAAUUCCCACUCACGAAGCAAUCAAAACUUUUAAAUCUGAAGUGGUUAAUUUCGUAUUGAAGCACAUUUCUAUUCAUACACCGAGCACUUUAUCAGCAUCUUUAAGAUGCCAAUGAAACUGUGAACGUAGAACUGCCUGCUAAUAAAUUGGAGUUAUUGAA